This 1435-nucleotide ribosomal RNA is filed under the name metagenome. RNAcentral describes it as "bacterial SSU rRNA". It matches the Rfam family "Bacterial small subunit ribosomal RNA". The record is from RNAcentral.
AGAGUUUGAUCCUGGCUCAGAGCGAACGCUGGCGGCAGGCCUAACACAUGCAAGUCGAACGGAUCCUUCGGGAUUAGUGGCGGACGGGUGAGUAACACGUGGGAACGUGCCCUUUGGUUCGGAACAACUCAGGGAAACUUGAGCUAAUACCGGAUAAGCCUUUGGAGGGAAAGAUUUAUCGCCAUUGGAGCGGCCCGCGUAGGAUUAGCUAGUUGGUGGGGUAAAGGCCCACCAAGGCUACGAUCCUUAGCUGGUCUGAGAGGAUGAUCAGCCACAUUGGGACUGAGACACGGCCCAAACUCCUACGGGAGGCAGCAGUGGGGAAUCUUGCGCAAUGGGCGAAAGCCUGACGCAGCCAUGCCGCGUGAAUGAUGAAGGUCUUAGGAUUGUAAAAUUCUUUCACCGGGGACGAUAAUGACGGUACCCGGAGAAGAAGCCCCGGCUAACUUCGUGCCAGCAGCCGCGGUAAUACGAAGGGGGCUAGCGUUGCUCGGAAUUACUGGGCGUAAAGGGAGCGUAGGCGGAUAGUUUAGUCAGAGGUGAAAGCCCAGGGCUCAACCUUGGAAUUGCCUUUGAUACUGGCUAUCUUGAGUACGGAAGAGGUAUGUGGAACUCCGAGUGUAGAGGUGAAAUUCGUAGAUAUUCGGAAGAACACCAGUGGCGAAGGCGACAUACUGGUCCGUUACUGACGCUGAGGCUCGAAAGCGUGGGGAGCAAACAGGAUUAGAUACCCUGGUAGUCCACGCUGUAAACGAUGAGUGCUAGUUGUCGGCAGGCAUGCCUGUCGGUGACGCAGCUAACGCAUUAAGCACUCCGCCUGGGGAGUACGGUCGCAAGAUUAAAACUCAAAGGAAUUGACGGGGGCCCGCACAAGCGGUGGAGCAUGUGGUUUAAUUCGAAGCAACGCGCAGAACCUUACCACCUUUUGACAUGCCUGGACCGCCUCAGAGAUGAGGCUUUCCCUUCGGGGACUGGGACACAGGUGCUGCUUGGCUGUCGUCAGCUCGUGUCGUGAGAUGUUGGGUUAAGUCCCGCAACGAGCGCAACCCUUGUCUCAUGUUGCCAGCACGUCAUGGUGGGGACUCGUGAGAGACUGCCGGGGUCAACUCGGAGGAAGGUGGGGAUGACGUCAAGUCAUCAUGCCCCUUAUGUCCAGGGCUUCACACAUGCUACAAUGGCCGGUACAAAGGGCUGCGAUGCCGUGAGGUGGAGCGAAUCCUUUCAAAGCCGGUCUCAGUUCGGAUCGGGGUCUGCAACUCGACCCCGUGAAGUCGGAGUCGCUAGUAAUCGCAGAUCAGCAACGCUGCGGUGAAUACGUUCCCGGGCCUUGUACACACCGCCCGUCACGUCAUGAAAGUCGGUAACACCCGAAGCCGGUGGCCUAACCCCUCGUGGGAGGGAGCCGUCGAAGGUGGGAUCGGCGAUUGGGACGAAG